Molecule: ribosomal RNA, 253 nt
Filed under: uncultured bacterium
Lineage: Bacteria
Description: partial 16S ribosomal RNA
Rfam family: Bacterial small subunit ribosomal RNA
Source: RNAcentral
UACGUAGGGUGCGAGCGUUGUCCGGAAUUAUUGGGCGUAAAGGGCUCGUAGGCGGUUUGUCGCGUCGGGAGUGAAAACCCAGGGCUUAACCCUGGGCUGGCUUUCGAUACGGGCAGACUAGAGGUAUGCAGGGGAGACUGGAAUUCCUGGUGUAGCGGUGGAAUGCGCAGAUAUCAGGAGGAACACCGGUGGCGAAGGCGGGUCUCUGGGCAGUAACUGACGCUGAGGAGCGAAAGCGUGGGGAGCGAACAGG